RNAcentral lists this ribosomal RNA (474 nucleotides) under uncultured bacterium. RNAcentral's name for it is "bacterial SSU rRNA". It matches the Rfam family "Bacterial small subunit ribosomal RNA", at positions 335 to 801 of the family's 1533-position model. The record is from RNAcentral.
ACUCCUACGGGAGGCAGCAGUAGGGAAUCUUCCACAAUGGGCGCAAGCCUGAUGGAGCAACACCGCGUGAGUGAAGAAGGGUUUCGGCUCGUAAAGCUCUGUUGUUAAAGAAGAACACGUAUGAGAGUAACUGUUCAUACGUUGACGGUAUUUAACCAGAAAGUCACGGCUAACUACGUGCCAGCAGCCGCGGUAAUACGUAGGUGGCAAGCGUUAUCCGGGAUUUAUUGGGCGUAAAGAGAGUGCAGGCGGUUUUCUAAGUCUGAUGUGAAAGCCUUCGGCUUAACCGGAGAAGUGCAUCGGAAACUGGAUAACUUGAGUGCAGAAGAGGGUAGUGGAACUCCAUGUGUAGCGGUGGAAUGCGUAGAUAUAUGGAAGAACACCAGUGGCGAAGGCGGCUACCUGGUCUGCAACUGACGCUGAGACUCGAAAGCAUGGGUAGCGAACAGGAUUAGAUACCCUGGUAGGAAAGCG